Molecule: ribosomal RNA, 497 nt
Filed under: uncultured bacterium
Lineage: Bacteria
Description: partial 16S ribosomal RNA
Rfam family: Bacterial small subunit ribosomal RNA
Source: RNAcentral
GAUGAACGCUGGCGGCGUGCCUAAUACAUGCAAGUCGAGCGAACAGACGAGGAGCUUGCUCCUCUGACGUUAGCGGCGGACGGGUGAGUAACACGUGGAUAACCUACCUAUAAGACUGGGAUAACUUCGGGAAACCGGAGCUACUACCGGAUAAUAUAUUGAACCGCAUGGUUCAAUAGUGAAAGACGGUUUUGCUGUCACUUAUAGAUGUAUCCGCGCCGCAUUAGCUAGUUGUUAAGGUAACGGCUUACCAAGGCAACGAUGCGUAGCCGACCUGAGAGGGGGAUCGGCCACACUGGAACUGAGACACGGUCCAGACUCCUACGGGAGGCAGCAGUAGGGAAUCUUCCGCAAUGGGCGAAAGCCUGACGGAGCAACGCCGCGUGAGUGAUGAAGGUCUUCGGAUCGUAAAACUCUGUUAUUAGGGAAGAACAAAUGUGUAAGUAACUAUGCACGUCUUGACGGUACCUAAUCAGAAAGCCACGGCUAACUACGUG